GAUGCAACGCGAAGAACCUUACCUGGCCUUGACAUAGUAAGAACUUUCCAGAGAUGGAUUGGUGCCUUCGGGAAUUUAGAUACAGGUGCUGCAUGGCUGUCGUCAGCUCGUGUCGUGAGAUGUUGGGUUAAGUCCCGCAACGAGCGCAACCCUUUUCCUUAUUCGCCAGCGGGUAAUGCCGGGAACCUUAAGGAUACUGCCAGUGACAAACUGGAGGAAGGCGGGGACGACGUCAAGUCAUCAUGGCCCUUACGGCCAGGGCUACACACGUGCUACAAUGGUCGGUACAAAGGGUUGCUACCUCGCGAGAGGAUGCUAAUCUCAAAAAGCCGAUCGUAGUCCGGAUCGCAGUCUGCAACUCGAGUGCGUGAAGUCGGAAUCGCUAGUAAUCGCGGAUCAGAAUGCCGCGGUGAAUACGUUCCCGGGCCUUGUACACACCGCCCGUCACACCAUGGGAGUUUGUUGCACCAGAAGUAGGUAGUCUAACCGCAAGGAGGAC
Molecule: ribosomal RNA, 499 nt
Filed under: Acinetobacter sp.
Lineage: Bacteria; Pseudomonadati; Pseudomonadota; Gammaproteobacteria; Moraxellales; Moraxellaceae
Description: bacterial SSU rRNA
Rfam family: Bacterial small subunit ribosomal RNA
Source: RNAcentral